RNAcentral lists this ribosomal RNA (427 nucleotides) under Gibsoniela meursaulti. RNAcentral's name for it is "partial 16S ribosomal RNA". It matches the Rfam family "Bacterial large subunit ribosomal RNA", at positions 1831 to 2599 of the family's 2925-position model. Lineage: Eukaryota; Metazoa; Platyhelminthes; Cestoda; Proteocephalidea; Monticelliidae. The record is from RNAcentral.
UUCCAUAUAUAAGAUUUUAUGGUAGUACCUGCUCUAUGUAUUUUAGUAUAAAUGGCCGCAGUAUUUUGACUGUGCAAAGGUAGCAUAAUUAAUUGCCUUAUAAUUGAAGGCUUGUUUGAAUGGUUUGACGUGGUAAGUAUAAAUAUUUGAUUUUUUAUUGAAAUUUGUGUAGAGGGCACAGAAUCCUCUAUUAUUAAUUAGACGGAAAGACCCCAGGAUCUUUCUUUUUUGUCUGGGGCAGAUGAAAAUAUUUCAUUUUUAUUUUGACCCUUUUUGGUUCAUUGAGUUAAGUUACCCUGGGGAUAACAGUGUAAUAGUUUAUUAGAGGCCUUAUCGAAUAAACUGUUUGCUACCUCGAUGUUGACUUAGGUAAAUAGACUAGGCGCAGUAGUCUAGUCUUUUGGUCUGUUCGACCUUUGUUACCUCC